This 500-nucleotide ribosomal RNA is filed under the name uncultured bacterium. RNAcentral describes it as "partial 16S ribosomal RNA". It matches the Rfam family "Bacterial small subunit ribosomal RNA", at positions 29 to 523 of the family's 1533-position model. The record is from RNAcentral.
AUUGAACGCUGGCGGCAUGCCUUACACAUGCAAGUCGAACGGUAACGCGGGGGCAACCCUGGCGACGAGUGGCGAACGGGUGAGUAAUACAUCGGAACGUACCUGGUAGUGGGGGAUAGCCCGGCGAAAGCCGGAUUAAUACCGCAUACGCACCACGGUGGAAACCGGGGGACCGCAAGGCCUCGCGCUAUCAUAGCGGCCGGCGGCAGAUUAGCUAGUUGGUGGGGUAAGAGCCUACCAAGGCGACGACCUGUAGCUGGUCUGAGAGGACGACCAGCCACAAUGGGACUGAGAAACGGCCCAGAAUCCUACGGGAGGCAGCAGUGGGGAAUUUUGGGCAAUUGGGGAAACCCUGAUCCAGCGAUGCCGCGUGUGUGAAGAAGGCCUUCGGGUUGUAAAGCACUUUUGUUCGGGAAGAAAUCUGUCGGGCUAAUACCCUGGCGGGAUGACGGUACCGGAAGAAUAAGCACCGGCUAACUACGUGCCAGCCGCCGCAGUAA